CAAUAGCGUAUAUUAAAGUUGUUGCGGUUAAAAAGCUCGUAGUUGGAUCUCGGCAGGCAGGGGGUGGUUCGCUCUUAGCGCUACUGCCCCAUUUGACUGUGUGAUUGGCGGAGGUUUCGGGGUGCUCUUCGUUGAGUGACCCGGGGCGCCGUCAGGUUUACUUUGAAAAAAUUAGAGUGCUCAAAGCAGGCUUUUCACGCUUGAAUAUUCGUGCAUGGAAUAAUGGAAUAGGAACUCGUUUCUAUUUUGUUGGUUUUCGGAAAUCGAGUUAAUGAUUAAUAGGGACAAUUGGGGGCAUUAGUAUUCAGACGACAGAGGUGAAAUUCUUGGACCGUCUGAAGACUAACUACUGCGAAAGCAUUUGCCAAGAGUGUUUUCAUUAA
RNAcentral lists this ribosomal RNA (383 nucleotides) under uncultured eukaryote. Its description in RNAcentral is "partial 18S ribosomal RNA". It matches the Rfam family "Eukaryotic small subunit ribosomal RNA", at positions 592 to 976 of the family's 1831-position model. The record is from RNAcentral.